This 209-nucleotide long non-coding RNA is filed under the name Elaeis guineensis (African oil palm). Its description in RNAcentral is "long non-coding RNA (EGUI_LNC047604)". The record is from RNAcentral. Lineage: Eukaryota; Viridiplantae; Streptophyta; Magnoliopsida; Arecales; Arecaceae.
CUGGCUAUAGGGAUAAAAUAGUAAUCUUUCAAAAUUAAACUAAUUUCUAAUGGCAGUCAUCAAGGGUAGGUCCCAAUGACCACAGCAGUAACUCUUACUCCAUUUUCGAGCUGGAGACUGACAUCGCCUUCCCUCAGCCCUCUAACUUCUUUCACACCCUGUAUAGAAGUGCACAAGUGAGCACUUGAACUAGAAUUUAGAAUCCAAGU